GCGAACGUUUGCGGCGGGCUUAACACAUGCAAGUCGAACGAGAAUCCCUUCGGGGAGGAAAGUGGCGCACGGGUGCGUAACACGUGGAUAACCAACCCAUUGGUUUGGGACAACACCGGGAAACUGGUGCUAAUACCAGAUGUGUCGCAGCUGUCUUCAGGCGGUUGCGAGAAAGGCCCGCAAGGGUCGCCAACGGACGGGUCCGCGUCCCAUCAGCUAGUUGGUGAGGUAAUGGCUCACCAAGGCGAAGACGGGUAGCUGGUCUGAGAGGAUGAUCAGCCACACUGGAACUGAGACACGGUCCAGACUCCUACGGGAGGCAGCAGUGGGGAAUAUUGCGCAAUGGGCGAAAGCCUGACGCAGCCACGCCGCGUGAGCGAUGAAGGCCUUCGGGUCGUAAAGCUCUGUGGGGAGAGAAGAAUAAAGCCUGUGAAGAAUGGGCCUUGACGGUAUCUCCUUAGCAAGCACCGGCUAACUCCGUG
This 482-nucleotide ribosomal RNA is filed under the name uncultured bacterium. RNAcentral describes it as "bacterial SSU rRNA". It matches the Rfam family "Bacterial small subunit ribosomal RNA", at positions 29 to 507 of the family's 1533-position model. The record is from RNAcentral.